Molecule: ribosomal RNA, 232 nt
Filed under: Citrobacter amalonaticus
Lineage: Bacteria; Pseudomonadati; Pseudomonadota; Gammaproteobacteria; Enterobacterales; Enterobacteriaceae
Description: partial 23S ribosomal RNA
Rfam family: Bacterial large subunit ribosomal RNA
Source: RNAcentral
GGUGUUCGGGUUGUCAUGCCAAUGGCAUUGCCCGGUAGCUAAAUGCGGAAGAGAUAAGUGCUGAAAGCAUCUAAGCACGAAACUUGCCCCGAGAUGAGUUCUCCCUGACUCUUAAAGAGUCCUGAAGGAACGUUGAAGACGACGACGUUGAUAGGCCGGGUGUGUAAGCGCAGCGAUGCGUUGAGCUAACCGGUACUAAUGAACCGUGAGGCUUAACCUUACAACGCCGAAG